UACGGAGGGUGCGAGCGUUGUCCGGAAUCACUGGGCGUAAAGGGCGCGUAGGUGGCCGAGCAAGUUCGCGGUGAAAGCCCGGGGCUCAACCCCGGGUCGGCCGUGGCAACUACUGGGCUGGAGCACUGUAGGGGCAGAUGGAAUUCCGGGUGUAGCGGUGGAAUGCGUAGAGAUCCGGAAGAACACCGGUGGCGAAGGCGGUCUGCUGGGCAGUUGCUGACACUGAGGCGCGACAGCGUGGGGAGCAAACAGG
This 253-nucleotide ribosomal RNA is filed under the name uncultured bacterium. RNAcentral's name for it is "partial 16S ribosomal RNA". It matches the Rfam family "Bacterial small subunit ribosomal RNA", at positions 524 to 776 of the family's 1533-position model. The record is from RNAcentral.